This is a long non-coding RNA of Aegilops tauschii subsp. strangulata, 1545 nucleotides long. RefSeq lists it as uncharacterized. NCBI's taxonomy places the organism in Eukaryota, Viridiplantae, Streptophyta, Magnoliopsida, Poales, Poaceae. The record is from RefSeq and is a predicted model, not a curated record.
CAAUGGAAUUCGAUAGGAUUAAUUAAAUUGGUUCCCCCAAGGUGGUGUUGAUCACUUUGUGUUUCUUUUCCUAUUGGUGUGAAAACGAAUUCCUUGGGUGACACCAAUGCAGGCAUUUGUGAUCUUGUUAACCGAUGCACCCGCUGACAUCAAGAUGUGGCAUGGUGCGGGCUUUGGGGUUUCAGGGGCGUGAAAUGGCGUGGAAGACAGAGAUGGAAGUGGCCUGCAUCCUCGAAUCGGGGUUGCCUCUUUGAGAGUAGCAGAUUGCCGAGAUGAGGACCUGUGUGGAUGCCCAAAGUUACAGGUCAUCAAGAACUAUAUCCUCGAAACUAAAAGUUGUUGGAAAAGAUCUGUUAUGAUGCCAUAGAAGUUGCAGAUAAGGAUCUUCUCCCCUUAUGCGCUGGGUCUGAAAGCAAGGGCAUGUACUAUUAAAUGCACACAAUAUUUUCUCUUCUACAUUUGUUGGAUGAAUUGGUACGAAGAUUAUGUUGACAUAUUUCUUUUUUCCCUUUUAAGAAUCGAUGAUCGUAGCUGGUUGAUUUUCCAACAUAAGGACCAGAGAAUUGCUACAGUUUGAGAUGACAGUGAAUGCUUACAAGACUAACUUUGCAAAUAUGCGUGAGGGCGACAUAUGCCCUUCUCAUCCUACAUGACUUGGAAUAGCUUUUGACUUUUCAGCUACAUAUCAUGCUUUGAAUUCACCUACAAGAAUCUACCGUUACAACACCAGUGCAUGAUGAGACUGAGAAGAUCUUGACCUUGCUGCGACAUAAUUUAAGGAGCUGGAAUGAGGUUGGACCUUUAACACAAUAGCAAAAUUGAACUCGAAGAACCUCUGAUAUCACUAAAUCAUUAUCAGGCUAACCAGCCAUCUCAGGCCGAGUCUGUUGCUACUGUUGCUCAACCUUUCAGUGGACUACAAGAUGAUAUACCACAAGGUAGCUUUAGUAUUUUGAACUUUCAGCUACAUUUGGUCACGAGUUAUGAGAUGCAUAUGGUUCUAGCAUCCUUCACCACCAUUCCUGUGAUUCAUUCAAUUUGGUUUGUCAUUGUUGGUACUUUCAUGCCAUUUGAUUAUGUGGUAGAGUGUGCUUCCGGACUGCGCGUGGGGUUGGGCAUUCUUGGCUAGACCUAGGCGUCCUCGCGAGCGACUUGCUGUCUGACCCAUCUACCGGCAUACACCAUCGUUUCCGCUCUUUCAUAUGUGGGCUCGGAUGCAAGGUGCAAGUCACCAUGAUGGUAGCGGGUUGAGAGAAGUGGAGAAUAGGGUUCCUCCAGGUUCCAUCCAUGAAUGGUGUCAGUCCAAUAUCUCAGUUAAAUGUCUGCUAUUCCUUCAUUUCUUCAUCUUCGGUUGAAGAAUAAUCCCUCUACUGUCAUCUUGAAGACUUGAAGGGUGGCAUGCGCACGUCCAUACAAUAACUUUAAAUUUUAAGUGUACUUUAGUUGAUGUAUUGUAGUUGAUUGAAUCCCGUCAAAGAUUCAGAGAAAAUCAAGUAACUUGAUAAUUAUUUGCUUAGAGAGCAAGAAGUUGCUACUAUAUCGUGG